Molecule: ribosomal RNA, 396 nt
Filed under: Triticum aestivum (bread wheat)
Lineage: Eukaryota; Viridiplantae; Streptophyta; Magnoliopsida; Poales; Poaceae
Description: partial small subunit ribosomal RNA
Source: RNAcentral
AUGCAGCAAAGGAUGUACAUCCAGUUGAUAGGACUGGGUGGACUUCUCAAGACAGCUAGCAUCAAAAUCAGACGUGUACUGUGCAUGGCCAUCGCUAAUUCAUAUGAUGCAGAGCAGGAUGCCUUUAUCAUCAACAGGAGACCAUGUAGGAUCACACUAGAAGAUGUAGCGCAUAUAACAGGCAUGCCCUGCCAUGGGAAGAAGCACGUCCCUUCAAAUCUUGAUGAAAAUAUGGAGUUGUGGAAGAAACUGAAAGACCGUAAUGACACCAAAAUAACUUUCAAAGGAUUGCUAGCCAAGAUGAAAGGCGACAGCACACCAAAAUUUUGUCAGGCCAUUUGUCUUGUACACUAUAGGCAAAUAUGUAUGCCGAACAAAAGAGGAGUAUGUGGAUAA